RNAcentral lists this ribosomal RNA (253 nucleotides) under uncultured bacterium. Its description in RNAcentral is "partial 16S ribosomal RNA". It matches the Rfam family "Bacterial small subunit ribosomal RNA", at positions 524 to 776 of the family's 1533-position model. The record is from RNAcentral.
UACGUAAGGGGCAAGCGUUGUCCGGAAUCACUGGGCGUAAAGCGCACGUAGGCGGACUCUUAAGUCAGGGGUGAAAUCCUGGAGCUCAACUCCAGAACUGCCUUUGAUACUGAAGAUCUUGAGUUCGGGAGAGGUGAGUGGAACUGCGAGUGUAGAGGUGAAAUUCGUAGAUAUUCGCAAGAACACCAGUGGCGAAGGCGGCUCACUGGCCCGAUACUGACGCUGAGGCACGAAAGCGUGGGGAGCAAACAGG